Molecule: ribosomal RNA, 401 nt
Filed under: uncultured bacterium
Lineage: Bacteria
Description: bacterial SSU rRNA
Rfam family: Bacterial small subunit ribosomal RNA
Source: RNAcentral
GGGGGAUAUUGCGCAAUGGGGGCAACCCUGACGCAGCAACGCCGCGUGAAGGAUGAAGGUUUUCGGAUUGUAAACUUCUUUUAUUAAGGACGAAACUUGACGGUACUUAAUGAAUAAGCUCCGGCUAACUACGUGCCAGCAGCCGCGGUAAUACGUAGGGAGCAAGCGUUGUCCGGAUUUACUGGGUGUAAAGGGUGCGUAGGCGGCUUUGCAAGUCAGAUGUGAAAUCUAUGGGCUCAACCCAUAAACUGCAUUUGAAACUGUAGAGCUUGGGUGAAGUAGAGGCAGGCGGAAUUCCCCGUGUAGCGGUGAAAUGCGUAGAGAUGGGGAGGAACACCAGUGGCGAAGGCGGCCUGCUGGGCUUUAACUGACGCUGAGGCACGAAAGCGUGGGUAGCAAAC